This 406-nucleotide ribosomal RNA is filed under the name uncultured bacterium. Its description in RNAcentral is "partial 16S ribosomal RNA". It matches the Rfam family "Bacterial small subunit ribosomal RNA", at positions 30 to 526 of the family's 1533-position model. The record is from RNAcentral.
AUUGAACGCUGGCGGCAGGCCUAACACAUGCAAGUCGAACGAGUGGCGGACGGGUGAGUAAUGGCUGGGAAACUGCCUGAUGGAGGGGGAUAACUACUGGAAACGGUAGCUAAUACCGCAUACCAUCGGAUGUGCCCAGAUGGGAUUAGCUAGUAGGGGGGGUAACGGCUCACCUAGGCGACGAUCCCUAGCUGGUCGGAGAGGAUGACCAGCCACACUGGACACGAGUCACGGUCCAGACUCCUACGGGAGGCAGCAGUGGGGUAUAUUGCACAAUGGGCGCAAGCCUGAUGAAGCCAUGCAGCGUGUAUGAAGAAAGCCUUCGGGAUGUAAAGUACUUUCAGCGGGGAGGCGUUACCCGCAGAAGAAGCACCGGCUAACUCCGUGCCAGCGGCCGCGGUAAUAC